RNAcentral lists this ribosomal RNA (1323 nucleotides) under Calicium adspersum. Its description in RNAcentral is "eukaryotic LSU rRNA". The stretch from base 502 to 1323 matches the Rfam family "Eukaryotic large subunit ribosomal RNA", at positions 1 to 840 of the family's 3401-position model. The record is from RNAcentral. Lineage: Eukaryota; Fungi; Ascomycota; Lecanoromycetes; Caliciales; Caliciaceae.
CAUUACCGAGAGAAGGGGUCGAACAGGCCUCGCUCUUCACCCGUGAAUUUCUACCUCUGUUGCUUUGGCGGGCCGUCGGCUUGAUUCCGACGUCGGUCUUCGAGUGCUUGCUCGACGCCCGGCGAGCGCUCGCCAGAGGCUCUCUAAACCCUUGCAUAAACGACGUCCGAGCAAAUAUUGAAUCAGUAAAAACUUUCAACAACGGAUCUCUUGGUUCUGGCAUCGAUGAAGAACGCAGCGAAAUGCGAUAAGUAAUGUGAAUUGCAGAAUUCAGUGAAUCAUCGAAUCUUUGAACGCACAUUGCGCCCUCUGGUAUUCCGGGGGGCAUGCCUGUUCGAGCGUCAUUGCAACCUCAAGCAUUGCUUGGUACUGGGCCUCGCCCCCGCGGCGUGCCUGAAAUUUGGUGGCGGUCCGUCGAGACUUCAAGCGUAGCAAGAUUUUUGAUCCCGCUUUGGAAGCUUCGCGGCGCGACCCGUCAAACCUCCAUGACCUUUCCACGAUUGACCUCGGAUCAGGUAGGGAUACCCGCUGAACUUAAGCAUAUCAAUAAGCGGAGGAAAAGAAACCAACAGGGAUUGCCUCAGUAACGGCGAGUGAAGCGGCAACAGCUCAAAUUUGAAAUCUGGCCCCUCCGGGGUCCGAGUUGUAAUUUGAAGAGGGUGUUUCGGGUGAGGCACCGGCCUAAGUCCCUUGGAACAGGGCGUCAUAGAGGGUGAGAAUCCCGUCUGCGGCCGGUGACCGAGUCCAUGUGAAACCCCUUCGACGAGUCGAGUUGUUUGGGAAUGCAGCUCUAAAUGGGUGGUAUAUUUCAUCUAAAGCUAAAUACCGGCCAGAGACCGAUAGCGCACAAGUAGAGUGAUCGAAAGAUGAAAAGCACUUUGGAAAGAGAGUUAAAAAGUACGUGAAAUUGUUGAAAGGGAAGCGCUUGCCACCAGACCUGUCGUCGGGUGAUCAGCCGUCGUUCUCGACGGUGCACUCGCCCGUUCGCAGGCCAGCAUCGGUUCGGGCGGUCGGAUAAAGGCCCCGGGAAUGUAGCUUCCUCCGGGGAGUCUUAUAGCCCGGGGUGCAAUGCGGCCAGCCGGGACCGAGGACCGCGCUUCGGCAAGGAUGCUGGCGUAAUGGUUGCAAGCGGCCCGUCUUGAAACACGGACCAAGGAGUCUAACAUCUAUGCGAGUGUUUGGGUGUCAAACCCGUGCGCGGAAUGAAAGUGAACGGAGGUGGGAACCCCUUGAGGGCGCACCAUCGACCGAUCCAGAUGUCUUCGGAUGGAUUUGAGUAAGAGCAUAGCUGUUGGGACCCGAAAGAUGGUGAACUAUGCCUGA